This is a long non-coding RNA of Anastrepha obliqua, 493 nucleotides long. RefSeq lists it as uncharacterized. The transcript has 3 exons. The record is from RefSeq and is a predicted model, not a curated record. Lineage: Eukaryota; Metazoa; Arthropoda; Insecta; Diptera; Tephritidae.
UUUAGGUCGAUUAUGUCUUACAUAUGGUGAUAGUCGAUUAUUUGGAGUCGGCUUUCUGCUGCAGAAAACCACCGGUUUGUGAGUUUUCAUACAUGUUUUUAUAGCAGCGUUUUUGCAAAUAUAUCAGAGACCACCUUACAUACAAUACAUAAACUACAGUUAGACUUCACAGACGAGCAAUUGCUGCGGAAGGUGUGUGUUGAAGAGCUAGGUGGCCCAACUAUUGUGGUUUUUAGAAAGGAAAGCUCGUAUGCGCGUAUUUCUACCAUUGUCUCAUGUGGUGCUACGGACAAUUUCAUAGGAGACAUGGAGCGUGUUGUGUAUGAUGGUGCAAAUACCUGUUUAACAUGUGACGGUUAUUAUGUGCCUAGUACUGCUACCUCUGAAAUGAAUUUGACUUCCGAAAAACGACUUCGUAAAACGUGCACGCGGUGGUCAUGCAAAAGAAAUCGAAUUUCAUACUUAAAUGUAGAUGUUCAAACUCGAUAAUAAA